UAAAAAAGUUCCCUGGAAUGGGGCGACAUGGAGGGUGAAAUCCCCGUCUUUGGCCAGAGUUCAGCCGUGCGUUUGCUUUGCUGCGAAGAGUCAGGUUGUUUGGGAAUGCAGCCUAAAAUGGGAGGUAGACUUCUCCUAAAGCUAAAUAUUGACGAAAGACCGAUAGCGAACAAGUACCGUGAGGGAAAGAUGAAAAGCACUUUGAAAAGAGGGUCAAAAAGUACGUGAAAUUGCUGAAAGGGAACCGUAUGAAAUCAGCCUGAUGUAUGGGUAAUCAGCCUGGGCUUUGGCCUGGGUGCACUUGCCCAUGUAUUAGCCUGCGACAGUUUGACCUGGGGGAAAAAAGAUGGGGGAAUGUGGCCUCGGCUUCGGUCGAGGUGUUAUAGCCCCUGUCAAAAUACCUUGGGUUGGACUGAGGACUGCAGCGAGCCGUAAGGCAUGGGUCUCGGGCGCUCUGUCUUGGCGAAAAGUGAAUCUCUGCUUCGGGUGGUGCGCUUUUCUUCAGGGCAGACUCGCCUGUUUCUUCUUUCUCUCGCUUAGGUCGUAGGCAUAAUGAUUUUAUAUGACCCGUCUUGAAACACGGACCAAGGAGUCCACCAUAGUUGCGAGUCUUUGAGUGUAAAAACCCAUGGGCGUAAGGAAACUGACCAAGAUAUGAAGGCCUUUUGGCUGGCAAUAUCCUCCGGCGAGGACGUUUUAUACUGAAUUGACCGAGAGAAAGCACCUAUGAUGGGACCCGAAAGAUGGUGAACUAUACUUGAAUAGGGUGAAGCCAGAGGAAACUCUGGUGGAAGCUCGUAGCGAUUCUGACGUGCAAAUCGAUCGUCAAAUUUGAGUAUAGGGGCGAAAGACUAAUCGAACC
Molecule: ribosomal RNA, 862 nt
Filed under: Absidia glauca
Lineage: Eukaryota; Fungi; Mucoromycota; Mucoromycetes; Mucorales; Cunninghamellaceae
Description: partial large subunit ribosomal RNA
Rfam family: Eukaryotic large subunit ribosomal RNA
Source: RNAcentral